UACGGAAGGCAGCAGUGGGGAAUAUUGCACAAUGGGCGCAAGCCUGAUGCAGCCAUGCCGCGUGUAUGAAGAAGGCCUUCGGGUUGUAAAGUACUUUCAGUCGUGAGGAAGGUGUUAAGGUUAAUAACCUUAGCAAUUGACGUUAGCGACAGAAGAAGCACCGGCUAACUCCGUGCCAGCAGCCGCGGUAAUACGGAGGGUGCGAGCGUUAAUCGGAAUUACUGGGCGUAAAGGGCACGCAGGCGGUUAAUUAAGUUGGAUGUGAAAUCCCCGGGCUUAACCUGGGAAUGGCAUUCAAGACUGGUUAGCUAGAGUCUUGUAGAGGGGGUAGAAUUCCAUGUGUAGCGGUGAAAUGCGUAGAGAUGUGGAGGAAUACCGGUGGCGAAGGCGGCCCCUGGGCAAAGGCUGACGCUCAUGUGCGAAAGCGUGGGGAGCGAAACAGGAUUAGAUACC
Molecule: ribosomal RNA, 453 nt
Filed under: uncultured bacterium
Lineage: Bacteria
Description: bacterial SSU rRNA
Rfam family: Bacterial small subunit ribosomal RNA
Source: RNAcentral